Falco peregrinus (peregrine falcon) is the source of this 4132-nucleotide long non-coding RNA. RefSeq lists it as uncharacterized. The record is from RefSeq and is a predicted model, not a curated record. The transcript has 8 exons. Lineage: Eukaryota; Metazoa; Chordata; Aves; Falconiformes; Falconidae.
GUCAGCUGCAGAGGGUGUUGAACAAUCUUCAUCUCUAGAUGAAUAAAUAAUGAAUUAUUGCAUAGAGUUGAGGGACAAUAUUUUCUUCUUCAUUUGGACCUUUAGCAUGUUGCUGUGAUUGUGGGCGCAGAGCAAGAUGAAUGUCAGCUGAUUUUUGGAGUGAAGAGGAAGUAUGAGCCAGUGCCAUGUUAAACAGGGUUGAGCAGUUGGAUCAAAGAAGUUAAUGGCACGUUGUACACAUGACAAAGUACAGGAGCAUCACUGUCUGUGGAGCCCAGCUGGAAGGUUGCAAAGCAGCUGUGAGAAUAGAUGGUUGGACCCAUUGUCAUGGUGGUACAAUACUGCUCAACUGAAGUUUUCCAGCGGUAAAGGCUCUGCAUAUUGUGAUGGUCAAGAGAAAGGAGAUAGUCAAGAUACAGCUUCAGGAAUAAGAGAGUCUAGACAUCUUGUCUAACUGUUUUUCCAUGAUGUCCCUCGACUGUGGCACUUACUCCCCACAUAACUUAAAGAAGGCCAAACUAUGUGCAGCAAAGUCUCUCUUGACAGGAAACUUAAUGGAGGUGAUACACUGACAGGUAGAAAAUCUUUCUGGCUGUGGCAGUGCCUUUAUCAAGUACUUCAGUGUGCCAUAGUGUUGCAUGGUGCUUGCUGCAGUGCUAGUGCUCAGGUGAUGAUAAUGCCUGCCUACCAUUUAUUGCGGUAGCAUCAUUAUACUCGGGCAGUCUUUUAUCCAAGUACUUCAGCCUGAAACUGCCUCAGAGCAAAGAAACUCAAAGAACGAGAUACGGUUGAUGGACGCAUAAAAAAAAUCAAGUUGAGAUUGUGCUGACACCUGUGCAGUUUCACGACAGCAUCUGUAUUGCCUGUUCGUCGACAGUAUGCAGCUCCUUGGUCUCCCUGUGGAUGCUGAGGAGAUCAGACUGGUUUUCAUCCAUUUCACCUCUUUCAUGUCUGACCAAAACAUUUUGAGUUCAACGGUCACAGAAUACUCCCUGUGGUGUGCUAGCCCUGAUCUGCCUGCAUGCUCAAAGGAGGACAGCAGUUAUAAUGAUGACUGGCUCCCUGGGGUGGUGCACAAGGGUGAGAGGUUACCGAGCAAGCUCAUCCACAGCCUGUUUGUAAUCCUUCCUGCGUGACAGACUUGAAAAGCUCUCUUAUGUAACUGUAUUUCUUAAAAUUAUUCAAAAUCUAUUCUUUCAUUUUUGGAGCUGAAUAGAGAGAGAUGCAUAAAGAUGUAUUUAAAGAGCCACACUAUAUCUGAUUUAAUAACACCUUAUUUUUAGUAAAACCCCAUUAUUUUUAGUUAAAUCAGUUAGUGGAAGAAUCACAAGGAAAUAGCAGCCCAACUUGCUGUAAGACCUAUAUAUUCUGCUAAGUUUCUUUAACCGUAAAGAGUGUUACUGUAUAAUUCUCCCUUUGGCAAGGUGUAUGCAUCACCAUGAUGCAUCUAUAAACAGAAUGUGAGGCGGCUGUGCUUCGUUAGAUGAAGCCAGUAAUUCACUAGGCACUCAGACUGGCACUGAACUCUCCUCCAGGAUGGGGACUGGGUGCCACUGGUGUUCAGGUCAGGGGAGGCAGAGGGCAUUUGGUACCCCAAUGAAUAUAUGCUGCCAUGCACACCAGUGUCCUACAAAGAAAAAAAUAUAAUCUAGCAGUAGUACAUGCUGGUUUGCGUAAGUGGAUGUGGCUGCUCUCCACGAGUAUUGCACUCUAGUGUAUUUUCAGCAUGCUUGUUGUAAACUACUUGUAUUGCUCAGCAGAUACUCUGUGCUCUGUCCUCCUGAAAAGUGUGAACAAAUUGCUGUGGUUAAUGAUUAUAGCUGCUAAAUGUUUGUUUCUGAUCAUUUCUGCAAUAUGUUGAGUGCUUGCAAAAUAUAUAUACACUUAAAAAAAAAAAUCACCUCCUGUUCAAAAGCAAUUUUAAUUUGUCAAAAUUUUUAUCUUAGGCUUAACUUUGCUUCAGGCUGGACACGGCUCAUAGGGGAUAAAACUUAGGCAGGCAAGCAUCUGAACAAUCAGUUUCUAUUGAAGUAAUCUUCCCAACCUUAGGUACCUUUGAAAAAUGAUAGUCUGAUGAUUUCAGCCAGGAGAGAUCUUUUUAGAUAACAUUUUUUGAAUGAGGUGUCUGUAAAAAAACACACACAGUGUUCUUUAUACUCUUAAAACUUUAAAAUCUUGUUUAAUACACAGAAAAAGUACAAAAGUAUACACUAAUACUUUGUAAAGUUAGAGUGGAGCCUAAUGAAGAAGGAUUCCUCUUCAGAACAAGAAUGCUGUAGCACCCAGGUUCAUUUAAAAACUGCUAGUGAAAUUGUUCUUGGAAAUCACAGGAAGUUUUCUUGGCAGAGUUAGCACACAUACUUAUUAGCGCAUUUCCAUGCUUGAAAGGGUUACAAUAUUACUGUAACGUUUUUUUUUUUUUAGAAGAAAAAAAACCCCAACAACCCACUAUCUUUCUUUUAGCAGGACUAUUUCAGAAUCUGAAAUAAUGACAUAAUGAAAACCACUGCUUUUUUUCCCCCUUAAUUCUCUCCUUUAUUCGCUAUAAAAAAGCAGUAUGUGCCUUAUCUAUUGUCUAGUUUCUUACACACUUUCAUAAUCCAAAGCUUAAUCUCAUUCUACAUCCACCUCUCUUCUCGUUUUUAUUUUUGUUGCAAAAUAUUGGAAUUCACUUUUCUUUUUUUAAGGGUGAAACACGCUGUGUAUUUUUAAUGUUACUCCUAUGCUGUGUUCCUCAGUUAACUGAGCCCCUAGUUUAGAUUUACAUGCCUGAUAAUGUCACAUAUCUUCUCUAUUUUAAGGCAAGAGGGCAAAAAGCAAUAUUUAUAAUCCAUUUCUUUAUUCAUGUUAUUAUGGCAUUUCCUAUUUUGCAUGAAAAUAUUAGCCCACAGUUUAUUAACUUUUUGAUUACAUCAGUGUGAAAACCUUGAAAACAACUUUGACUGGAGGGAGAGGUUACCAUCUUGCCUAGAGUGUAUCAUGUUAUUAACCUGUCCUUUAUUUAGCAGACAUCAAUAAUGACUGUUCGGUGAGACUGUAAGUGAAGUUUCCUGUGUAAAUCACUAGCCAUCAUCUCACUGUGACCCACUAUCUGCUGGUAAACUGCAGUUCACUGCACGUCAUCUUCUGUUUCAGGUGAAUUUUUCUAAAAUUUAAAAAAUGAUGGAGUUUUCUAAAAAAGUGUGUAAAUUUGCACACAACUUAGUUUACCUUGUGUAAAUUGUCAACCCUAGAUUAAAUUUACAUCCAUGAAGGAUCUUCUUAUUUCUGUCAGGUGUAGAGGAUUAACUAUAGCCAUUUACAAAUUUUUAUUGAUCAUAAACUUGCUGCUUUGCAUUAGAACGUUUGAAUAUCUUUUGUCAUAAAAUUGAAAGAAUAUUACUAACUUUGUUUAAAUACCUUACAUCAUUAGUGUGUACAGGUUUUUUACCUCUACCUCUGCCUUUCUUUUGAAGAGUCUUCAGAGCAUGUUCCGAACAGUACACAAACAUGACUAGACUCCCUCGAAGUCAAAAGCAAUACUUUUAAUUGGCAUAAGUGGAGCCACAUUGACAAAGGAUUGUUUCUCCCACCAGUGAACUGAAGCCCCUCAGGAAGGGAGGAUCAGUCUGUUUCACCAAUUUUCUGGCUGUGUGACUUCAUUGAUUCCCAUUGCACAACCAUGACACAUGGAGUGGAGAAUUGGGCCCUAGGCAGGGUGGCUGCAUGGUCAGCUCUGUGUCAUGCUUCAGGAUGAGAAGUGUAGAAGGAACUAUAUGCUCUUCUCAUGAACACCUCUGCAAGCUGGGCGCUGUCAUGACUGGAUGUAUCUCAUCUGGUAUUCACUUUGAAAAGGGUACAACACAGGAGAGAACUGGCCACCUGGUAUGGAAAUGCAACCAGAGGGGCAGGGGAGUGGGUCAAGGCUUAGUAUGUAGCCAUGCUCAGGAAAGCUUGUUUAAGCUUUCUUCUGUAGUCAGAAAAAAGCAAUAUACUUCAACUAAACUUCACCUGGCUAGGAGCAUAUCAUCUCACAGAGGGUGUUUUUUGCAUCAUACCUUAUGUCUAUAGCCACAUCCUAUAAGUAAUGCAGAAAAAAGUCUUCACUGAGGUAUUAUAAGAUAUAGUAAUCAAAUAAAAUUGCAAAUUUUUG